AGUGAACGCUGGCGGUAGGCCUAACACAUGCAAGUUGAACGGCAGCACAGUAAGAGCUUGCUCUUACGGGUGGCGAGUGGCGGACGGGUGAGGAAUACAUCGGAAUCUACUUUUUCGUGGGGGAUAACGUAGGGAAACUUACGCUAAUACCGCAUACGACCUACGGGUGAAAGCAGGGGAUCUUCGGACCUUGCGCAAUUGAAUGAGCCGAUGUCGGAUUAGCUAGUUGGCGGGGUAAAGGCCCACCAAGGCGACGAUCCGUAGCUGGUCUGAGAGGAUGAUCAGCCACACUGGAACUGAGACACGGUCCAGACUCCUACGGGAGGCAGCAGUGGGGAAUAUUGGACAAUGGGCGCAAGCCUGAUCCAGCCAUACCGCGUGGGUGAAGAAGGCCUUCGGGUUGUAAAGCCCUUUUGUUGGGAAAGAAAAGCAGCAGGUUAAUACCCCGCUGUUCUGACGGUACCCAAAGAAUAAGCACCGGCUAACUUCGUG
This 492-nucleotide ribosomal RNA is filed under the name uncultured bacterium. RNAcentral's name for it is "partial 16S ribosomal RNA". It matches the Rfam family "Bacterial small subunit ribosomal RNA", at positions 29 to 507 of the family's 1533-position model. The record is from RNAcentral.